RNAcentral lists this ribosomal RNA (495 nucleotides) under uncultured bacterium. RNAcentral describes it as "partial 16S ribosomal RNA". It matches the Rfam family "Bacterial small subunit ribosomal RNA", at positions 28 to 507 of the family's 1533-position model. The record is from RNAcentral.
GACGAACGCUGGCGGCGUGCCUAAUACAUGCAAGUAGAACGCUGAAGGAGGAGCUUGCUUCUCUGGAUGAGUUGCGAACGGGUGAGUAACGCGUAGGUAACCUGCCUGGUAGCGGGGGAUAACUAUUGGAAGCGAUAGCUAAUACCGCAUAAGAGUAGAUGUUGCAUGACAUUUGCUUAAAAGGUGCAAUUGCAUCACUACCAGAUGGACCUGCGUUGUAUUAGCUAGUUGGUGGGGUAACGGCUCACCAAGGCGACGAUACAUAGCCGACCUGAGAGGGUGAGCGGCCACACUGGGACUGAGACACGGCCCAGACUCCUACGGGAGGCAGCAGUAGGGAAUCUUCGGCAAUGGACGGAAGUCUGACCGAGCAACGCCGCGGGAGGGAAGAAGGUUUUCGGAUCGUAAAGCUCUGUUGUAAGAGAAGAACGAGUGUGAGAGUGGAAAGUUCACACUGUGACGGUAUCUUACCAGAAAGGGACGGCUAACUACGUG